UACGAAGGGGGCUAGCGUUGCUCGAAAUCACUGGGCGUAAAGCGCACGUAGGCGGCUUACUAAGUCAGGGGUGAAAGCCUGGAGCUCAACUCCAGAACUGCCUUUGAUACUGGUGAGCUUGAGUUCGGGAGAGGUGAGUGGAACUGCGAGUGUAGAGGUGAAAUUCGUAGAUAUUCGCAAGGACACCAGUGGCGAAGGCGGCUCACUGGCCCGAUACUGACGCUGAGGUGCGAAAGCGUGGGGAGCAAACAGG
Molecule: ribosomal RNA, 253 nt
Filed under: uncultured bacterium
Lineage: Bacteria
Description: partial 16S ribosomal RNA
Rfam family: Bacterial small subunit ribosomal RNA
Source: RNAcentral